UCCAGACUCCUACGGGAGGCAGCAGUGGGGGAUAUUGCACAAUGGGGGAAACCCUGAUGCAGCGACGCCGCGUGUGGGAAGACGGUCCUCUGGAUUGUAAACCACUGUCCCCAGGGACGAGGAUGACGGUACCUGGGGAGGAAGCUCCGGCUAACUACGUGCCAGCAGCCGCGGUAAUACGUAGGGGGCGAGCGUUAUCCGGAUUCACUGGGUGUAAAGGGAGCGUAGACGGCCAUGCAAGCCAGGGGUGAAAGCCCGGGGCCCAACCCCGGGACUGCCCUUGGAACUGUGCGGCUAGAGUGCGGGAGGGGCAGGCGGAAUUCCUGGUGUAGCGGUGAAAUGCGUAGAUAUCAGGAGGAACACCGGCGGCGAAGGCGGCCUGCUGGACCGCGACUGACGUUGAGGCUCGAAAGCGUGGGGAGCGAACAGGAUUAGAUACCCUGGUA
Molecule: ribosomal RNA, 446 nt
Filed under: uncultured bacterium
Lineage: Bacteria
Description: bacterial SSU rRNA
Rfam family: Bacterial small subunit ribosomal RNA
Source: RNAcentral